This 497-nucleotide ribosomal RNA is filed under the name uncultured bacterium. RNAcentral's name for it is "partial 16S ribosomal RNA". It matches the Rfam family "Bacterial small subunit ribosomal RNA", at positions 28 to 507 of the family's 1533-position model. The record is from RNAcentral.
GAUGAACGCUGGCGGCGUGCCUAAUACAUGCAAGUCGAGCGAACAGACGAGGAGCUUGCUCCUCGGAUGUUAGCGGCGGACGGGUGAGUAACACGUGGAUAACCUACCUAUAAGACUGGGAUAACUUCGGGAAACCGGAGCUAAUACCGGAUAACAUGUUGAACCGCAUGGUUCAAUAGUGAAAGACGGUCUUGCUGUCACUUAUAGAUGGAUCCGCGCCGCAUUAGCUAGUUGGUAAGGUAACGGCUUACCAAGGCAACGAUGCGUAGCCGACCUGAGAGGGUGAUCGGCCACACGGGAACUGGGCCACGGUCCAGACUCCUACGGGAGGCAGCAGAAGGGAAUCUUCCGCAAUGGGCGAGAGCCUGGCGGAGCGGCGCCGCGUGAGUGGAGAAGGUCUUCGGAUCGUAAAGCUCUGUUAUUAGGGAAGAACAAAUGUGUAAGUAACUAUGCACGUCUUGACGGUACCUAAUCAGAAAGCCACGGCUAACUACGUG